UAAUGCUUGGGAACAUGCCUUGAGGUGGGGGACAACAGUUGGAAACGACUGCUAAUACCGCAUAAUGUCUACGGACCAAAGGGGGCUUCGGCUCUCGCCUUUAGAUUGGCCCAAGUGGGAUUAGCUAGUUGGUGAGGUAAUGGCUCACCAAGGCAACGAUCCCUAGCUGGUUUGAGAGGAUGAUCAGCCACACUGGGACUGAGACACGGCCCAGACUCCUACGGGAGGCAGCAGUGGGGAAUAUUGCACAAUGGGCGCAAGCCUGAUGCAACCAUGCCGCGUGUGUGAAGAAGGCCUUCGGGUUGUAAAGCACUUUCAGUCAGGAGGAAAGGUUAGUAGUUAAUACCUGCUAGCUGUGACGUUACUGACAGAAGAAGCACCGGCUAACUCCGUGCCAGCAGCCGCGGUAAUACGGAGGGUGCGAGCGUUAAUCGGAAUUACUGGGCGUAAAGCGUACGCAGGCGGUUUGUUAAGCGAGAUGUGAAAGCCCCGGGCUCAACCUG
RNAcentral lists this ribosomal RNA (503 nucleotides) under marine sediment bacterium BB0608_AND_3.2_4S0. Its description in RNAcentral is "bacterial SSU rRNA". It matches the Rfam family "Bacterial small subunit ribosomal RNA", at positions 111 to 616 of the family's 1533-position model. The record is from RNAcentral.